GAGGGUGUAGCUCAGUGGUAGAGUGCAUGCCUAGCAUGCAUUAAGGUCCUGAGUUCAAUUCCCAGUACUUCCA
RNAcentral lists this transfer RNA (73 nucleotides) under Camelus bactrianus (Bactrian camel). It matches the Rfam family "tRNA". From Rfam's summary of the family: Transfer RNA (tRNA) molecules are approximately 80 nucleotides in length. Their secondary structure includes four short double-helical elements and three loops (D, anti-codon, and T loops). Further hydrogen bonds mediate the characteristic L-shaped molecular structure. tRNAs have two regions of fundamental functional importance: the anti-codon, which is responsible for specific mRNA codon recognition, and the 3' end, to which the tRNAs corresponding amino acid is attached (by aminoacyl-tRNA synthetases). tRNAs cope with the degeneracy of the genetic code in two manners: having more than one tRNA (with a specific anti-codon) for a particular amino acid; and 'wobble' base-pairing, i.e. permitting non-standard base-pairing at the 3rd anti-codon position. RNAcentral also lists the same sequence under 1 other name. Lineage: Eukaryota; Metazoa; Chordata; Mammalia; Artiodactyla; Camelidae. The record is from Rfam by way of RNAcentral.